Molecule: microRNA, 21 nt
Filed under: Ornithorhynchus anatinus (platypus)
Lineage: Eukaryota; Metazoa; Chordata; Mammalia; Monotremata; Ornithorhynchidae
Description: oan-miR-1348
Source: miRBase by way of RNAcentral
AAGGUAGAGGAACAGGCCCUG